RNAcentral lists this ribosomal RNA (515 nucleotides) under uncultured bacterium. RNAcentral's name for it is "partial 16S ribosomal RNA". It matches the Rfam family "Bacterial small subunit ribosomal RNA", at positions 28 to 523 of the family's 1533-position model. The record is from RNAcentral.
GAUGAACGCUGGCGGCGUGCCUAAUACAUGCAAGUCGAGCGAAUGGAUUAAGAGCUUGCUCUUAUGACGUUAGCGGCGGACGGGUGAGUAACACGUGGGUAACCUGCCCAUAAGACUGGGAUAACUCCGGGAAACCGGGGCUAAUACCGGAUAACAUUUUGAACAGCCUGGUUCGAAAUUGAAAGGCGGCUUCGGCUGUCACUUAUGGAUGGACCCGGGUCGCAUUAGCUAGUUGGUGAGGUAACGGCUCACCAAGGCAACGAUGCGUAGCCGACCUGAGAGGGUGAUCGGCCACACUGGGACUGAGACACGGCCCAGACUCCUACGGGAGGCAGCAGUAGGGAAUCUUCCGCAAUGGACGAAAGUCUGACGGAGCAACGCCGCGUGAGUGAUGAAGGCUUUCGGGUCGUAAAACUCUGUUGUUAGGGAAGAACAAGUGCUAGUUGAAUAAGCUGGCACCUUGACGGUACCUAACCAGAAAGCCACGGCUAACUACGUGCCAGCAGCCGCGGUAA